GGCUGGGGGCGCAAUCGGUUACCGUGUUCGGCCGCUAACCGAAAGGUCGGUGGUUCCAGCCCACCCAGAGAUG
Molecule: non-coding RNA, 73 nt
Organism: Megalops atlanticus (tarpon)
Lineage: Eukaryota; Metazoa; Chordata; Actinopteri; Elopiformes; Megalopidae
Source: the annotation of a GenBank genome assembly